GGUCAUGGACAUACCAACCUGAACACACCUGAUCUCAGAAGCUAAGCUGGGUUAGCCUCGGUUAGUAUUUGGAUGAGAGAAAGGAAGUUUAAAAUUGGUCA
Molecule: ribosomal RNA, 101 nt
Filed under: Prolemur simus (greater bamboo lemur)
Lineage: Eukaryota; Metazoa; Chordata; Mammalia; Primates; Lemuridae
Source: RNAcentral